GGAGGGGUGGCAGAGCGGUCGAAUGCGGCGGUCUUGAAAACCGUUGAUCCGUUACGCGGGUCCGGGGGUUCAAAUCCCUCCCCCUCCG
RNAcentral lists this transfer RNA (88 nucleotides) under Thermoleophilia bacterium. RNAcentral describes it as "tRNA-Ser". It matches the Rfam family "tRNA". Rfam says of the family: Transfer RNA (tRNA) molecules are approximately 80 nucleotides in length. Their secondary structure includes four short double-helical elements and three loops (D, anti-codon, and T loops). The record is from RNAcentral. Lineage: Bacteria; Bacillati; Actinomycetota; Thermoleophilia. RNAcentral also lists the same sequence under 2 other names.